GUAGCUAUCAACUCUGCAGCCACCGGUUUCCGUCCGAUCACUAAAGUUAAACAGUUGCGGGACUGGUUUGUAUCCGCAUGGGUGGACGACUGAGAAUACUGGGUGUGACAGUG
Molecule: ribosomal RNA, 113 nt
Filed under: Fasciola hepatica (liver fluke)
Lineage: Eukaryota; Metazoa; Platyhelminthes; Trematoda; Plagiorchiida; Fasciolidae
Source: RNAcentral